RNAcentral lists this ribosomal RNA (254 nucleotides) under uncultured bacterium. RNAcentral's name for it is "partial 16S ribosomal RNA". It matches the Rfam family "Bacterial small subunit ribosomal RNA", at positions 524 to 776 of the family's 1533-position model. The record is from RNAcentral.
UACGGGGGGAGCAAGCGUUGUUCGGAUUUACUGGGCGUAAAGGGCGCGUAGGCGGCCAGCACAAGUCAGUUGUGAAAUCUCCGAGCUUAACUCGGAAAGGUCAACUGAUACUGUGCGGCUAGAGUGCGGAAGGGGCAACUGGAAUUCUUGGUGUAGCGGUGAAAUGCGUAGAUAUCAGGAGGAACACCGAUGGCGAAGGCAGCUCGCUGGGACGGUACUGACGCUGAGGCGCGAAAGCGUGGGGAGCAAACAGG